RNAcentral lists this ribosomal RNA (270 nucleotides) under uncultured bacterium. Its description in RNAcentral is "partial 16S ribosomal RNA". It matches the Rfam family "Bacterial small subunit ribosomal RNA", at positions 793 to 1055 of the family's 1533-position model. The record is from RNAcentral.
GUCCUGGCCCUAAACGGUGUUCACUUGGUGUGCGGGGAGUCGACCCCCUGCGUGCCGUAGCCAACGCGAUAAGUGAACCGCCUGGGAAGUACGACCGCAAGGUUAAAACUCAAAGAAAUUGACGGGGGCCCGCACAAGCGGUGGAGCAUGUGGCUUAAUUCGAUGCAACGCGAAGAACCUUACCUGGCCUUGACAUGCUGGUAGUAGAAGCCGGAAACGGUGACGAGCCUCGCAAGAGGAGAGCCAGCACAGGUGCUGCAUGGUUGUCGU